GAUGAACGCUGGCGGCGUGCCUAAUACAUGCAAGUCGAGCGAACAGACGAGGAGCUUGCUCCUCUGACGUUAGCGGCGGACGGGUGAGUAACACGUGGAUAACCUACCUAUAAGACUGGGAUAACUUCGGGAAACCGGAGCUAAUACCGGAUAAUAUAUUGAACCGCAUGGUUCAAUAGUGAAAGACGGUUUUGCUGUCACUUAUAGAUGGAUCCGCGCCGCAUUAGCUAGUUGGUAAGGUAACGGCUUACCAAGGCAACGAUGCGUAGCCGACCUGAGAGGGUGAUCGCCCACACUGGAACUGAGACACGGUCCAGACUCCUACGGGAGGCAGCAGUAGGGAAUCUUCCGCAAUGGGCGAAAGCCUGACGGAGCAACGCCGCGUGAGUGAUGAAGGUCUUCGGAUCGUAAAACUCUGUUAUUAGGGAAGAACAAAUGUGUAAGUAACUAUGCACUUCUUGACGGUACCUAAUCAGAAAGCCACGGCUAACUACGUG
Molecule: ribosomal RNA, 497 nt
Filed under: uncultured bacterium
Lineage: Bacteria
Description: partial 16S ribosomal RNA
Rfam family: Bacterial small subunit ribosomal RNA
Source: RNAcentral